Molecule: ribosomal RNA, 444 nt
Filed under: uncultured bacterium
Lineage: Bacteria
Description: bacterial SSU rRNA
Rfam family: Bacterial small subunit ribosomal RNA
Source: RNAcentral
AACGCGAAGAACCUUACCAGGCUUUGACAUGCCCUCUGUGGAUCCUAGAAAUAGGGUCCUUCACUUCGGGUGGGAGGAGCACAGGUGCUGCAUGGCUGUCGUCAGCUCGUGUCGUGAGAUGUUGGGUUAAGUCCCGCAACGAGCGCAACCCUCGUCCUCUGUUGCCAACAGGUAAUGCUGGGAACUCUGAGGAAACUGCCGGUGAUAAGCCGGAGGAAGGUGGGGAUGACGUCAAGUCCUCAUGGCCCUUACAGCCUGGGCUACACACGUGUUACAAUGGCAGUGACAAUGCGUUGCUACCCUGCAAGGGGAUGCCAAUCGCAAAAAGCUGCCUCAGUUCGGAUUGUACUCUGCAACUCGAGUACAUGAAGCUGGAAUCGCUAGUAAUCGCGCAUCAUCGCGGCGCGGUGAAUACGUUCCCGGGCCUUGUACACACCGGAGUGC